AAGAUAGAUAGAUGAUAGGUAC
Molecule: non-coding RNA, 22 nt
Filed under: Rattus norvegicus (Norway rat)
Lineage: Eukaryota; Metazoa; Chordata; Mammalia; Rodentia; Muridae
Source: RNAcentral